UGUGUUGAUCAGAUAUGAAACCAAAAGAGGUAGUGAGGUGCUUGGCAUAUUAAAGGGGUUUAAUUAUGCUUUGAUGUACGGGUGGUGUGCAAAUGACAGAGAAGGGAGGUCAGCUUCGUAGGGAGGAUUAGACGGAGUGUUGAGGUAGGAGCCGAGCACGGGAGAUCAGGUAAUGCACAUCGGCGACUAAUUGGGUUCAGUUGUGAGGAAAAGACGUGUGCGGGGAAGGUCGACGAGUGCGGGUGGCCUAGUCGGGAUGGAGGUUGGAGCGAUUGGAUCGGCUUUGGGCAGUUUGGGGUGUUUCGCCGAAGUAGAGGAGGCGGAUGCGGGAGAUCUAGGCAUCAUAUAGGGGUGGUUUUGAAGCAAGUUUUGUCGAAUUGCGAGUAUCAGAGGUUAGUGAGGUAGGUUGGAGGAACAGAGAGGAGUGCGGUUCACGAGUUCGAGUCAUGGAAGCUAUGGGAAGAGGAGAAGAGGUCGAAAAAUACGGGCAAGGUCUUCGAACAGGGUGAUAGAUCGAAGGUAUGCGAGUUGUAGCGACUCGAUUGUGAGAGGGAUGAAGAACGUUAGGGAGUAGAGAGGGGGAUAUCGCAUGCCGAAGAAGAAGCCUUUGACUUCAAAUUUUUGUUUCAUUUUAACGAUGACAAGAGUGGACAAGCGAUUAAGGCUAGUGCGAGGAGACAUUUUCACAGAGCAGGGAUAAGCUGAGGAAGCUAAAUAUGCAGGGAUUUGUGCGAGACGUGAGAAGGAUUUUGGGCAAGGUGAACGAUAGAGGUUCCUGGAUGAGCCAUAUGCCAACUAGUUAGUUGUCAUAUAAAGUUUCCUCUUAGGUAUACUUUUACAUUGUAGCUUUAUACAUAUUGGUAUAAUUUCUCUCCUUUCUUUCUAUUGAUGCUUCUAUUGCUUUGUGCAUGUUCUAAAAGUGCAGAGUGUCCAGUCUUUGAAAGGAGCAGAGCGAAGCUGCCGACUUCUUCUUCAGACAUAGAUUUAGGAGAUAGACUUCAGUCCUCUCUGAAGGAUAAUAUACUCUUUUUCUUUUUGUUGGCUUAUUUAAGCUUGUAAAAAGAUGUAAAUUCACAUUUAUAUAUGUGAAUUUUGAAUCAAUAAAAGAAAUUAAUUUUGUGA
This is a long non-coding RNA of Dendrobium catenatum, 1122 nucleotides long. RefSeq lists it as uncharacterized. The transcript has 2 exons. NCBI's taxonomy places the organism in Eukaryota, Viridiplantae, Streptophyta, Magnoliopsida, Asparagales, Orchidaceae. The record is from RefSeq and is a predicted model, not a curated record.